AUCCAACCUUCCGGUAACUCCGGUAUAGCCUUUCGAAAGAAAGAUUAAUCCCGGAUAGUAUGGUGAUUCCGCAUGGUUUUUCCAUUAAAGGAUUCCGGUUACCGAUGGGGAUGCGUUCCAUUAGGCAGUUGGCGGGGUAACGGCCCACCAAACCUACGAUGGAUAGGGGUUCUGAGAGGAAGGUCCCCCACAUUGGAACUGAGACACGGUCCAAACUCCUACGGGAGGCAGCAGUGAGGAAUAUUGGUCAAUGGGCGGAAGCCUGAACCAGCCAAGUAGCGUGAAGGAUGACUGCCCUAUGGGUUGUAAGCUUCUUUUAUAAGGGAAUAAUUGCGGGUACGCGUACCCGUUUGCAUGCACCUUAUGAAUAAGGAUCGGCUAACUCCGUGCCAGCAGCCGCGGUAAUACGGAGGAUCCGAGCGUUAUCCGGAUUUAUUGGGUUUAAAGGGAGCGUAGGCGGGCGCUUAAGUCAGCUGUGAAAGUUUGGGGCUCAACCUUAAAAUUGCAGUUGAUACUGGGUGCCUUGAGUGCAGUAUAGGCAGGCGGAAUUCGUGGUGUAGCGGUGAAAUGCUUAGAUAUCACGAAGAACUCCUACUGCGAAGGCAGCUUGCUGGAGUGUAACUGACGCUGAUGCUCGAAAGUGUGGGUAUCAAACAGGAUUAGAUACCCUGGUAGUCCACACAGUAAACGAUGAAUACUCGCUGUUUGCGAUAUACUGCAAGCGGCCAAGCGAAAGCGUUAAGUAUUCCACCUGGGGAGUA
Molecule: ribosomal RNA, 761 nt
Filed under: uncultured Prevotella sp.
Lineage: Bacteria; Pseudomonadati; Bacteroidota; Bacteroidia; Bacteroidales; Prevotellaceae
Description: bacterial SSU rRNA
Rfam family: Bacterial small subunit ribosomal RNA
Source: RNAcentral